Non-coding RNA from Caenorhabditis elegans, 146 nucleotides. Lineage: Eukaryota; Metazoa; Nematoda; Chromadorea; Rhabditida; Rhabditidae. The record is from Ensembl.
CAAGUGCACCCUUUUCCAUCCUCUGAUCUCGUGUUCGACGUUCAAAAUCGCACUUUGUUUGAGUUCGCCGACGCAAUCGCCGUGUUGUGUUUUUUCUCCUUCAUUUCACUUCUUCUUUUCAUUUUCCGUUACCUCCUUUUUCUCGU